Cygnus olor (mute swan) is the source of this 2840-nucleotide long non-coding RNA. RefSeq lists it as uncharacterized. The transcript has 3 exons. NCBI's taxonomy places the organism in Eukaryota, Metazoa, Chordata, Aves, Anseriformes, Anatidae. The record is from RefSeq and is a predicted model, not a curated record.
CUCUUCAUCAUUACUUGGCAAAGAUGCUAUUUAGACACUGCUAGAAGGGUCAAACUCCUGAAUGCCAGCAGUGUGUAAUCCUGCAGCAAGAUCCUUAAGCCCUGAAGGAUUUGCAGCCUCCUCUCAAUUUCUUUUGUAAAGCAGAUGCAUCAUAUCCCCGAGGACUGCAGUAAUAGUAAUGGAGAAGAAAACAGACGAAAAUAUAAUGACAGACAUUGUCAGUGGCAACAGCUCUGUGGAGGUGAACCUCCAUCCAGUGUCAUCUUGGGCUUCUCAGCUGGGUUCUGCAGUCACAAAAUUGAGUGUGAGAGGACGCAGGUAAUGGCUUUCCAUCAUUGUGUCUUCCUGGGACUGCUCCGUGUCCCUGGGCACUGUGAGCCCGGCAGUUUGCUGCUCUCCUCUGCUCCUGAGUGCUUGGAGCUGGCUCAUGAGGAUGAACAGUCCAAACAACUGCGGGUGCAUUUGGAUGAAACCAACUGUGACUGCCUCUUUCUAUCUAGUAUUUGACAGCCUGAAGUUUUGCCAAAAGCUAUAAAGAAAUUAUUUGUCUAAAGCCAGUGGCUUGAAGUUUGGCUUUUAAAUCUGCAUUUAGCUACCUCUUUAAAUACCCCGAUAUUAAAAAAAAGAUGCUCACACUGAAGCUCAAUACUUAUGAAAAUUAUAUUUCUCCCAACCACAUCUACACAGCACUUAUCACAGUGCAGCCUGGGUUCAGGACUUAAAAAUGUUCUUGGUGUAGAUAUAGAUUGUAAUGAAGUACUAAAUGACUGCAGACAACAUCUGGAGAUAAAACCCCUGCCUCACUUAUUGCUGGCGGAACAGAAAUCAUAUUGUACCUCAGGAGCAGAAAAUGUGAAAGAUCUUUUGGAGUUUCACCUUGCAGCUGGGUAGACUGGUGGAAAACUAAACGUGCUGACUCAAAGGACUCAGGAUCAUAUCCACAAAAAUAUCCAUUAUCACAAACAUUGACUGUUCAUGUAUAAGUAUCUGGCAGAGAAAAGCAAUAGAAUUUCCCCAAGGCAGUGCUAUGAGAAAGGAGCACUGGGGGGAGCGUCAGGUCCUGGGAACUUGAGGGUCCUUUCAGCUGCUUGGACAUAUCCAUUACCAAAAUAUUGCUGUUUUGAUUAUGGUAUUUCUUAUAUAUGACAGGAUCUUUUCUUCUAAGGAUAUCAGUGGUCCCCAGCUCAAGUGAAAAAAUUCCUGUCUUGUGGAUAAUUACACCAGUUAGGAAGAAGUAAUGGAAAAAUAAUAGCUAAAAUGAUAAACUGGUGAAUAACGAGAAACAUACCUAAAUGUUCCAGCUAAUGUUAACAGGCUGAAAACAGAUUUAACAUUCAACAGCUGCAAGGAAAAAUGUUUGACAUCCCUGCCUUUGCAAGCCAGUUCAAGGAAAGGGAGGGUCAUUAAGCAUGAACAAUGUCAGCUAAAAGCCUCUCUCCUCCCUUGAAGGCCUGCUUGUAUACGUGACCAUACAGUACUGGUCAUUUCCCAUCUUCUUAGACACAUAUCUCAUGUAAGAGAUUUUGCUGGCUUGCACCACUUUUUGACUUGGAAAUUUGUAUCCAAAUAACAUUGGUUUCCUGUUAUGCUUUUCUUGUAGCGCUUUAUCAAACAGCAGGAAUUUAUGCUGUUCCUGAGGGCAAUCUAUUAAAAUGAAUCAUUCCUUAUGGGUUUUCACUGUGAGCAAUGCACCAUGUUCAGGGCUUACUGUCAAUUGUGAAUGAACAUAAACUAAAUCCAGUUUUGCAAAUGCCUGCUUACCUAGUAGAGAUAUAUCAUAUAUGCAUAGUAAAUCUUCAAUUUAAAAACAUCACAAGUAACUGAUAUACCCAGACUGAUCUACUUGCUCUGCUGGAUGAUUUAAUCAUUAAUUUUAUAAAUCCACUUUAUUUGUUCCCUUAUUGGCAUGGUGAACAGAACUCCUUCUUGAUGAGAUAGUUAUUCCCCUUGUGGUUUUGACUGAAUUAUUUAAAAUUAAGUUGCUCAGUACAAUAGUGUUCCAACAUUGUUUUAUAUUCAAGUCUGCCACUCUUAUUUUGGAUUGUACUAUUCAUGCCUGUAGUUGCAUUCUCAAUUGACGUGGUGACUUUCCCAGUUUAAGAAUAUGAAAAGAUCAUGGUUUGUUAGCAAAAGGUGCUUUGCGGCUUGAAUAUCUCAGGCUCUUGAAUAUCUAAGGUGUCACUCAAUUACAAAUUCAUGCUUCCAGUUACGAGUUUUUAGCUCCUCUGUACUGUACGGACUGCUGAGUAUUAUUUUGAGGGCAUGGGAGGUAAAGGGUUUCUAAAUCAAAGCUGGUUUGUUUUCUUCAUUUUUGGUGACCAUGCUGAUGUGAAUCUUGUGUUAUCAUUGAUGGGAUAUUUUUAUACUUCAUGCAAGAAGGCGCAAAGCUAUUUCUUUAUCAUCAGUUGUAAUAUUAACAUAAAAAAUAUGCCACAGUCUUUCUUUCUGAUUCACAUGAUUUCAUUUGAUCAAGAAAACUCUAUUCUGUCCAGCCCUAUAAUGACCAUGUAAUUACACUCAAUAGAAAAAAGACAACUUCAAAAAUUGCUGGUUACUGUAGUUUCUUCACUAAUCGCUUGGAAAAGUGAUAACACAUGUUUAAGUAUUGUCCUCAUUGCCAAUUAAUAGCGUCAUUAGGUUUUACUGGGAAAAAACUUACGCUAAUUUUGGUUCUUACACUCUGUGAGCUUAGAUAUGACUGCAUUUUUGAAACUGAUCUCUAUUUUUGUACAUCUGAAUUUUCAUUGUUCAAUUUCAGAUGUGCAGGUUUUGAGUUGAAAGGUUCAAAGCAUCUAAAAUGCAAGAGACACUGGGCAGCACCUCUGUAAAUUAACCCCUUA